This 427-nucleotide ribosomal RNA is filed under the name uncultured bacterium. RNAcentral describes it as "bacterial SSU rRNA". It matches the Rfam family "Bacterial small subunit ribosomal RNA", at positions 355 to 774 of the family's 1533-position model. The record is from RNAcentral.
UGGGGAAUUUUGGACAAUGGGCGCAAGCCUGAUCCAGCCAUUCCGCGUGCAGGACGAAGGCCUUCGGGUUGUAAACUGCUUUUAUACGGAACGAAAAGGCUCUGGCUAAUACCUGGGGCUCAUGACGGUACCGUAAGAAUAAGCACCGGCUAACUACGUGCCAGCAGCCGCGGUAAUACGUAGGGUGCAAGCGUUAAUCGGAAUUACUGGGCGUAAAGCGUGCGCAGGCGGUUAUGUAAGACAGAGGUGAAAUCCCCGGGCUAAACCUGGGAACUGCCUUUGUGACUGCAUAGCUGGAGUACGGCAGAGGGGGAUGGAAUUCCGCGUGUAGCAGUGAAAUGCGUAGAUAUGCGGAGGAACACCGAUGGCGAAGGCAAUCCCCUGGGCCUGUACUGACGCUCAUGCACGAAAGCGUGGGGAGCAAACA